RNAcentral lists this ribosomal RNA (305 nucleotides) under uncultured bacterium. RNAcentral describes it as "bacterial SSU rRNA". It matches the Rfam family "Bacterial small subunit ribosomal RNA", at positions 335 to 655 of the family's 1533-position model. The record is from RNAcentral.
GGUCCUACGGGACGCAGCAGUGGGGGAUAUUGCACAAUGGGGGAAACCCUGAUGCAGCGACGCCGCGUGGGCGAAGAAGUAUUUCGGUAUGUAAAGCCCUAUCAGCAGGGAAGAAGAAAUGACGGUACCUGAGUAAGAAGCACCGGCUAAAUACGUGCCAGCAGCCGCGGUAAUACGUAUGGUGCAAGCGUUAUCCGGAUUUACUGGGCGUAAAGGGAGCGCAGGCGGCGCGCCAAGUCUGAUGUGAAACCCCGGGGCUCAACCCCGGGCAUGCAUUGGAAACUGGCGGGCUGGAGUGCCGGAGG